UCCCCGCCAGCGGGGACCCAGUUAUUCAGGGUCCCGAAGAGGCUUUCUACCUGUGGGCCAAAAUGGGGGUGAAGAGAAGAAGGAGACCAAGCAAAAGUUCUGUUGUCAAGGUCUCGUUUAUUGGGAUGAACAUUGCAGCUUUUAAGGCUUUCAGGUAGGGGGAGUGACCUUUGUGAAAUAUGAAGGAGGGGGAGAUGAGGGUAUAGGCAGUGAUAGCUGGAGGCAAAGAAGUCAGGCGAUGAGGUCAGGUGGUGGAGACACUGGGUGUUGACUGAGGAGAUAACUGGUAUCUGCUCGAGCUGAGGCAUCCCUUGAAUAUUAUACUCCUGUGCCGUAAAUUCAUGGGAGAGGCUUUAUCCAACAAUCUUAAGAUUUAUGGCAGUCAUCUUCGGGGUGAGUCUCUGUGGCCAAACAGCCCAGAGUCACUUUGAACCAUGCAGUCAAAAAGCGGCUAGGCCCAAAUCCAAUAUGGCUCCGUGCAUCUCCCCCAUUUUUCUUUAAAAAAAAAAAACCAUUAGGUUGAAGUAGUGGUCUGAGAGAGAUCAGACAUGCCUCACAGAGUGCCCAGCUCGGCCAUGGUGAGCCACUCUUGCAGUUAGGACUGCACCCCAAUGGCUAGGAAUGAACUUAUGCUGUAACACACCGUUCUGGGCUAUACGUGUGUGUUAUUGGGGGAGAAACUGGGCAGAGGAACAUUUGACCGGCCCGCACGUUUAAACGGGGUGUAGCCACCUCUGUCUUAGGAUCGACCUCUGAAACCCCAGCCUUAUCUGUCAUAGGAUCACCUUGUCGCCCCCAAGGUUCCUGUCUUAGAUUGGUCAAGGGUCAGAGGAAGUUGCCCGUCCCUGAGGAUAGCUACAUCAGGUCAUCUUCUCAUUCCUCUCACUUGAGCCCAGGGGCGAAAGAGCAAAGGCCAGAUGGCAUUAAUAUAAGAGAUUGUGGAAAUUGAGCCUCUCCCGACAAGUUGUAGGCACCUCAUCUUGUUCGUUGUCUCUCUGGUUCUCCUCAGCUGUUCCGGUCUCCAAGCGAUGAUAAUGUACUGAAACAGAAUUUCUAGGCAAAGCAGAAUCUAUUUGUGAUUUAAUAAAGCGUGUAAGUCGUUGGAAGGCCCAAGGACCAAAGGAAAUCAACAAAAGUAGGCCCACAAGGGGUCCCAAAAUUGAGGGCAACAAGGUAGAGAGCCAUGGGGAUGUAGAAAACCAGUUUUGGUACCAAGACUCUUGUUGUUCUCUCUCUCUCCUUCGUUUUUCUAGGCUAUCUCUCACCUUUUUUAGAUUGUCUUCUACAAGUCCAGUCUUAUCUACAUAAACACAGCAUUCCUCUUUUAAGGCUGCACAAAGUCCUCCUUGUUGUAGGAAGAUUAAGUCUAGGCCUCUUCUAUUUUGUAAGACUACUUCAGACAACGAGGCAACUGAGUCUUUUAAGUUAGCUAAUCCAUCUCUUAAUUCAGCAAUAUCCUUAUCUAUGGCUUCACUAAGCUGGUUAUAGUAUUGAUGGGAAGUAACGAGGGAAGCGAUGCCAGUGCCUGCACCCGCGGCCCCUAGACCUAGGAGAACGGCGAGAGUGAUGGCAGUUACUGAUUCUCUUUUUACCUUGUGAGGCAUAUCCGAGCCCUUUUCCCAGGAUUUAAGAAAAGUCUCUGGCUGAUGUAUGCUGAGUCUGGGAAAUAAUUGAACCAGCACACAGUAAUCUUUAGUCUUUAAAAAUUGAGAUGUUAUAACAUAUGUGGUUAGACCAGUGGAACAUGCUAGAUAAGUAUACUUGGGGGCUUGUAAAUAUGUAUUUUGAUUGUCAACGAUUAUGGUAUGAUUACAUAUUUCUAAUAAUUGUUUAGGGAGGAGCAUGUUCUUCCCGAGGAGGCAGCUUCCUAUCCCUGAGACUUCUGUGAUAGUGAGUUCUAUGGUGUUCCAAGAGAGACCACCAGUGUUAUUAGUAUAUGUGAUGUUGCCAAAAGUGGCUAUACCCUCAUAGAAAGGAGGGUUAGCUGAAAAACACAUCCAGCAUUCCUCAUAAAUAGAGGUAUUUGUUUCCUGUUCAUGAUAUACCAAGGCAAGAGCUGAGGCGUUAAGAACAGAUAAAAUCAGGGUUGUGGGGGACAUUGGCCCAACAGGUAUGGUGGGCUGAAAAAGGGUAGUUGGAGGACUAGAGGUGUUAAAGGGGGGCUGAGUCACCACCCUGGGCGGCAAGGAACCCUGGCUAUGCAAUUGAGGGUUAGGUCCAAUGGAGGCCUUAUGUAAGUUGGGGGUGGUUUUAAAUAAUCUAAUUUUGAAGGUUACUCCGGGGUCUCUAUUGGCAACAUACAUCCGGAGACCCCACUCAAACCCCCUAUGCCAGUUUUCUGGGGUGAUCUUUUUCCCAGCAUCAGUAAAAGUUAUUGUAAGAGGGUUGCACCAGCCCUUGGAAGGCUCAGUGUUCCGGCAUUCCUGGGUUAGAGUACUGUUUCUGUUAGAAUUGUGCCACCCCUUUUUUACUGUGAUAUAAUCCCAAGAGGAGGUAGGUUUCCAGUAUGCGUCUCCUGUGGUUUCACACCCCCAGGAGGCACAAUAGAAUUGAUCCCUGUAUCCACACUUAUAGUUUAGGGAGCGAUCUCUGUGGGAUCUGGGACAGACAUAAAAGUCAGUUUCCCUAAUGUUGGUGCGUCGAUGGACAGUGUCACAACCGACAUAUCUUUCAUUAAAACUAGACCCAUGAGGGGCUUCAAUUAGGGGGGUGUUCCAAGGCGAAGUGGACUGUUCAAGGUGCCCUUGUAAUAAUUGUUCCUGCACCAACUGUAGGGCCGCUUGAACCUUUUCUUGAGGCAUGGACCACUGAUCGAUCCAGACUGGAUCAUUUGACUUCCAAGAUAUUUUAUCAGCCUGGAGUGCAGGAGGAACAGCGGUCUCUAUGAAAAAAGGUCAGGAGCUUUGAACUUUGGAGUGUAUCCUGUGUUUGACCUAUCCCUUUUAAAUGUGUGGCAGUAGCCUUAAGGGGCCAGGUUGAGGGCCAGUGUCUAGAGGAGAGCACUGUUGUAUCCGCCCCUGUAUCUAAAAGGCCCUGAAAUUGUUUGCCAUCAAGCCAAAGAGACAUCAUGGGUCUUUCAUCAGUUAAUUUUUGCACCCAAUAAACAUCUGAAGAGCCA
Non-coding RNA from Rattus norvegicus (Norway rat), 3118 nucleotides. The record is from RefSeq and is a predicted model, not a curated record. Lineage: Eukaryota; Metazoa; Chordata; Mammalia; Rodentia; Muridae.